GGGAAAUAGAGCGUAUGUAAACUGUAAAAAAAAUUAAACUGACUGGAGAAUUUCAGGAGCGAUAUCAAAAGUCAAAGGUACUUAGGGACUGGGCACAUUUUUUGCCCUCCCCCUAUUUUCCAAAUACCGAUUUUUAUACCUUCUGUUUUUCUGUACUCUAUGAACAUGCAUAUAUACUUUAAUUACUAUACAGAGAAUUUCAGGAGAGGUGUCAAAAGUCAAAGGUACUUAGGGACUGGGCCCAUUUAUUGCCCUCCCCCUAUUUUCCAAAUACCGAUUUUUAUACCUUCUGUUUUUCUGUACUCUAUGAACAUGCAUAUAUACUUUAAUUAAAUUACUAUACAGAGAAUUUCAGGAGAGGUAUCAAAGUCAAAGGUACUUACAUAUAUAUAUAUACAUCAGUGAACGCCAUGAAUAGUAAAGAGCCCCCCCCCCCAAGAUAACCAUUGGAAUUUAUAGUAAAUUAUAACAAAUACAGUUAUUCAUAGUAAAUGUAUGUAUACAGAAAUAUAUCCACAGUGACCGCCG
RNAcentral lists this long non-coding RNA (528 nucleotides) under Mytilus galloprovincialis (Mediterranean mussel). Lineage: Eukaryota; Metazoa; Mollusca; Bivalvia; Mytilida; Mytilidae. The record is from RNAcentral.